CUCCAGCGGCGUCGGGCGCGCGCGGAUCUCGCGGGAGCGGCGGGCGGUAUUUAAGGGCCGGGGAGGCGCCGCCCGCCCUCUUUCUCCGCCGCCCGGCGGUGAGGCGUGCCGGCCGUGGGCUGAACCCGCCCGGAGGUCCCCGCAGCGGCUCCCGAUGCCCACGGGGCCCUGCCCCGCUGGCCGCUCCCGGCUGCCAUGGGGCGUGCUGGGCCUCAAGCCCGCAGGAGUCACUUAGUUUCAUGAUCGAAUCAGUCUAGAAAUGGAUGAUGACCCCCUAAAUUGGAAGCGGUUCUCAGGACUUCUUAGGGAUGAAUAAUACCUUCAGUUAAGAAGAGUUCUCAGAUGUGUUGGGACUCCUUGGCUGCCUAGAAUAUGCUUCAUGAGAUUGUGAUAAACAACUUGAAGUCAAAAGAGUUCCUUGUGAACUGAUUAGUCUUCAGGGAGAAAAAUCAGCAAGGGACAUGCAAGGCAUUGGAAAUGAUCUGCUGAGUGGAUGAUCACCAAUUUUGCAGAAGAUCACCCCAGUUGUCCUAUGAAAUGUUUUGUCUUGAACUGAAACAGUGACUCAGACUAUACACCUUCAAUGAUCACAUUUAAACAAUCUAGCCAUUGGUUGCAACCGAAGUUUCUUAAAAGCUGUGACGAUUUAUUUCUGUGAGGAUUAAUUGAAAUAAAGAUAAUACCAGAAGCUUGUGUCGUAAA
Molecule: long non-coding RNA, 702 nt
Organism: Numida meleagris (helmeted guineafowl)
Lineage: Eukaryota; Metazoa; Chordata; Aves; Galliformes; Numididae
Exons: 5
Source: RefSeq, a predicted model, not a curated record